GUCCUCGUAGCUCAGAUGGAUAGAGCGACCGCCUCCUAAGCGGUAGGUCCCCGGUUCGAAUCCGGGCGAGGACA
RNAcentral lists this transfer RNA (74 nucleotides) under Gemmatimonadales bacterium. RNAcentral's name for it is "tRNA-Arg". It matches the Rfam family "tRNA". From Rfam's summary of the family: Transfer RNA (tRNA) molecules are approximately 80 nucleotides in length. Their secondary structure includes four short double-helical elements and three loops (D, anti-codon, and T loops). The record is from RNAcentral. Lineage: Bacteria; Pseudomonadati; Gemmatimonadota; Gemmatimonadia; Gemmatimonadales.